CACGUAGGGCGCAAGCGUUGUCCAGAAUUAUUGGACGUAAAGAGCUCGUAGGCGGUCUGUUGCGUCCGCUGUGAAAACUCGGGGCUUAACCCCGAGCCUGCAGUGGAUACGGGCAGACUAGAGGUAGGUAGGGGAGAAUGGAAUUCCCGGCGUAGCGGUGAAAUGCGCAGAUAUCAGGAGGAACACCGGUGGCGAAGGCGGGUCUCUGGGCCGAUACUGACGCUGAGGAGCGAAAGCGUGGGGAGCGAACAGG
This 253-nucleotide ribosomal RNA is filed under the name uncultured bacterium. Its description in RNAcentral is "partial 16S ribosomal RNA". It matches the Rfam family "Bacterial small subunit ribosomal RNA", at positions 524 to 776 of the family's 1533-position model. The record is from RNAcentral.